GGGGAUUUGGCUCAGUGGUAGAGCGCCUGCCUAGCAAGCACAAGGCCCUGGGUUCGGUCCCCAGCUCCA
RNAcentral lists this transfer RNA (69 nucleotides) under Rattus norvegicus (Norway rat). It matches the Rfam family "tRNA". From Rfam's summary of the family: Transfer RNA (tRNA) molecules are approximately 80 nucleotides in length. The record is from Rfam by way of RNAcentral. Lineage: Eukaryota; Metazoa; Chordata; Mammalia; Rodentia; Muridae.